UGAGAGUGGCGCACGGGUGCGUAACGCGUGAGCAACCUACCCAUAUCAGGGGGAUAGCCUCUCGAAAGAGAGAUUAACACCGCAUAACAUCAUUUACCGGCAUCGGAUUAUGAUCAAAUAUUUAUAGGAUAUGGAUGGGCUCGCGUGACAUUAGCUAGUUGGAGGGGUAACGGCCCACCAAGGCUACGAUGUCUAGGGGCUCUGAGAGGAGAAUCCCCCACACUGGUACUGAGACACGGACCAGACUCCUACGGGAGGCAGCAGUAAGGAAUAUUGGUCAAUGGAGGGAACUCUGAACCAGCCAUGCCGCGUGCAGGAUGACUGCCCUAUGGGUUGUAAACUGCUUUUGUCAGGGAAUAAACCUUUCCACGUGUGGGAAGCUGAAUGUACCUGAAGAAUAAGGAUCGGCUAACUCCGUGCCAGCAGCCGCGGUAAUACGGAGGAUCCAAGCGUUAUCCGGAUUUAUUGGGUUUAAAGGGUGCGUAGGCGGUCCUAUAAGUCAGUGGUGAAAGACGGCAGCUUAACUGUCGCAGUGCCUUUGAUACUGUAGGACUUGAAUCUAUUUGAAGUGGGCGGAAUAAGACAAGUAGCGGUGAAAUGCAUAGAUAUGUCUUAGAACUCCGAUUGCGAAGGCAGCUCACUAAGUUAGUAUUGACGCUGAUGCACGAAAGCGUGGGGAUCAAACAGGAUUAGAUACCCUGGUAGUCCACGCCCUAAACGAUGAUAACUCGAUGUUUGCGAUACACAGUAAGCGUCCAAGCGAAAGCGUUAAGUUAUCCACCUGGGGAGUACGGUCGCAAGAUUGAAACUCAAAGGAAUUGACGGGGGCCCGCACAAGCGGAGGAGCAUGUGGUUUAAUUCGAUGAUACGCGAGGAACCUUACCCGGGCUUGAAAGUUAGUGAAUGAUCCAGAGACGGAUCAGUCCUUCGGGAC
Molecule: ribosomal RNA, 934 nt
Filed under: Sphingobacterium faecium
Lineage: Bacteria; Pseudomonadati; Bacteroidota; Sphingobacteriia; Sphingobacteriales; Sphingobacteriaceae
Description: bacterial SSU rRNA
Rfam family: Bacterial small subunit ribosomal RNA
Source: RNAcentral